This 433-nucleotide ribosomal RNA is filed under the name uncultured bacterium. RNAcentral describes it as "partial 16S ribosomal RNA". It matches the Rfam family "Bacterial small subunit ribosomal RNA", at positions 29 to 507 of the family's 1533-position model. The record is from RNAcentral.
AACGAACGCUGGCGGCAUGCCUAACACAUGCAAGUCGAACGAGACCUUCGGGUCUAGUGGCGCACGGGUGCGUAACGCGUGGGAACCUGCCCUUAGGUUCGGAAUAACUCCCCGUAAGGGGUGCUAAUACCGGAUAAUGUCUUCGGUCCAAAGAUUUAUCGCCUUUGGAUGGGCCCGCGUUGGAUUAGCUAGUUGGUAGGGUAAAAGCCUACCAAGGCGACGAUCCAUAGCUGGUCUGAGAGGAUGAUCAGCCACACUGGGACUGAGACACGGCCCAGACUCCUACGGGAGGCAGCAGUGGGGAAUAUUGGACAAUGGGCGAAAGCCUGAUCCAGCAAUGCCGCGUGAGUGAUGAAGGCCUUAGGGUUGUAAAGCUCUUUUACCCGGGAUGAUAAUGACAGUACCGGGAGAAUAAGCUCCGGCUAACUCCGUG